This is a non-coding RNA of Podarcis lilfordi (Lilford's wall lizard), 80 nucleotides long. The record is from the annotation of a GenBank genome assembly. NCBI's taxonomy places the organism in Eukaryota, Metazoa, Chordata, Lepidosauria, Squamata, Lacertidae.
UCCCUGCUGGGAUAGCUCAGUUGGUAGCGCACAAGACUUUUAAGCUCAGGGUUGUGGGUUCAAGUCUCACCUCGGAUGAA